Molecule: transfer RNA, 72 nt
Filed under: Crocinitomicaceae bacterium
Lineage: Bacteria; Pseudomonadati; Bacteroidota; Flavobacteriia; Flavobacteriales; Crocinitomicaceae
Description: tRNA-Thr
Rfam family: tRNA
About the family: Transfer RNA (tRNA) molecules are approximately 80 nucleotides in length. Their secondary structure includes four short double-helical elements and three loops (D, anti-codon, and T loops).
Source: RNAcentral
GCCGAUGUAGCUCAGUGGUAGAGUGCUUCCUUGGUAAGGAAGAGGUCACGAGUUCAAUUCUCGUCAUUGGCU